GACGAACGCUGGCGGCGUGCCUAAUACAUGCAAGUCGAGCGGACAGAUGGGAGCUUGCUCCCUGAUGUUAGCGGCGGACGGGUGAGUAACACGUGGGUAACCUACCUGUAAGACUGGGAUAACUCCGGGAAACCGGGGCUAAUACCGGAUGGUUGUUUGAACCGCAUGGUUCAAACAUAAAAGGUGGCUUCGGCUACCACUUACAGAUGGACCCGCGGCGCAUUAGCUAGUUGGUGAGGUAACGGCUCACCAAGGCAACGAUGCGUAGCCGACCUAAGAGGGUGAUCGGCCACACUGGGACUGAGACACGGCCCAGACUCCUACGGGAGGCAGCAGUAGGGAAUCUUCCGCAAUGGACGAAAGUCUGACGGAGCAACGCCGCGUGAGUGAUGAAGGUUUUCGGAUCGUAAAGCUCUGUUGUUAGGGAAGAACAAGUACCGUUCG
This 444-nucleotide ribosomal RNA is filed under the name Bacillus subtilis. Its description in RNAcentral is "bacterial SSU rRNA". It matches the Rfam family "Bacterial small subunit ribosomal RNA", at positions 28 to 462 of the family's 1533-position model. The record is from RNAcentral. Lineage: Bacteria; Bacillati; Bacillota; Bacilli; Caryophanales; Bacillaceae.